Long non-coding RNA from Selaginella moellendorffii, 789 nucleotides. RefSeq lists it as uncharacterized. The transcript is spliced from 2 exons. The record is from RefSeq and is a predicted model, not a curated record. NCBI's taxonomy places the organism in Eukaryota, Viridiplantae, Streptophyta, Lycopodiopsida, Selaginellales, Selaginellaceae.
GCUGGAGACUGCGGCAGCUGUGAUAAUCCAUUUCCUGGCCUAUCGGCGCAGCGGCGGCUCCAGCCCUGGCAGCUGAUUCUCUUGUCUCGUCUGAUUCCAUUGACAAGACAUGAUCGAUCGCAGGCGCUCCUCCUGUCGCUCCUCCUCCUCCUCGCAGUGUAGCUUUCUCGACGCUGACCUUGUGUUUGGCGCCCUGGCGGCGGGAUACGUUUUCAGGGACCAAGGUUGAGAGGUUCAGGGCUGUGCUUGGACACAUUCACCAUCCAUUCCUGUCACGAACAGGCAAUUCCGUCCUCAGGCAGCUCAAGUGGACGAAGUUCUCCAUGUGCCUGGUGGGUUUGGGGGAAUUAAACAAGCCCGCUUUUUCUCGGAGAGACUGCCGUCCUGCGCGAGCUUGAUACUCCUCCCGAUUUUAGCACCCAAAAAUCACCCCGAUUCUUGAGACGCAUCAAGGAUAUUUACUAGCCAGACUUCCAUGGUGGCUACAUGAAAGGUUUAUGCGAAGGAGGACGCCACCCUCACUGUCAGAGCGUGGUUGAGGCUUUUGACAAGCGCCAAAGGGGUGAUUACAGUUCCCUAGGAUCACCCCCGCAUUGAUCUGCCACAGGAGAACUAAAUCUCUCGUGCCUCUUGAUUAUUGCUAGUGAGAGCAGCAGGAGCUUGAUGGUGCAGAACUACCACUUUCUGUUCUAUCUGGAAGCGUCCCAGUUGUCACCGCACCAAAUGCCACGAACUUUCAAUUGUUAUCUAGGGCAUAAAAUGAGUAACUAUCACAAAUAUUCUUUUGCA